Molecule: ribosomal RNA, 263 nt
Filed under: uncultured bacterium
Lineage: Bacteria
Description: partial 16S ribosomal RNA
Rfam family: Bacterial small subunit ribosomal RNA
Source: RNAcentral
GUCCAUGCCGUAAACGAUGUAUACUUGGUGUAGCUGGGCUCAACCCUAGCUGUGCCGGAGCUAACGCGUUAAGUAUACCGCCUGGGGAGUACGCUCGCAAGGGUGAAACUCAAAAGAAUUGACGGGGGCCCGCACAAGCAGUGGAGCAUGUGGUUUAAUUCGAUGCAACGCGAAGAACCUUACCCAGGUUUGAAAUGCAGAGGACGAUACUAGAGAUGGUAUUUCCCGUAAGGGUCUCUGCACAGGUGCUGCAUGGCUGUCGU